UACGUAGGUGGCGAGCGUUAUCCGGAAUGAUUGGGCGUAAAGGGUGCGUAGGCGGCCUGCUAAGCCUGGAGUGAAAGGUACCGGCUCAACCGGUACAGGCUCUGGGAACUGGCGGGCUAGAGAGCAGGAGAGGGCGGUGGAACUCCAUGUGUAGCGGUAAAAUGCGUAGAUAUAUGGAGGAACAUCAGUGGCGAAGGCGACUUUCUGGUCUGUAACUGACGCUGAGGCACGAAAGUGUGGGGAGCAAACAGG
This 252-nucleotide ribosomal RNA is filed under the name uncultured bacterium. RNAcentral's name for it is "partial 16S ribosomal RNA". It matches the Rfam family "Bacterial small subunit ribosomal RNA", at positions 524 to 776 of the family's 1533-position model. The record is from RNAcentral.